UUUCAGGUAGUGUAGUGGUAAGCAUGAGUCGCUGUUAACGAUUCGGCGGAGGUUCAACUCCUUCCCUGAUAU
Molecule: transfer RNA, 72 nt
Organism: Naegleria gruberi
Lineage: Eukaryota; Heterolobosea; Eutetramitea; Acrasida; Naegleriidae
Rfam family: tRNA
About the family: Transfer RNA (tRNA) molecules are approximately 80 nucleotides in length.
Source: Rfam